ACGAAGUGGUAAUUUUAGCAUAGCUAAUUUUAUUAAUUUUUGUUGAUCUGAUAAUAGCCGUGUCCUUCCUUACUGCAAGCUUCUUUCACUAUAUUGUACUUUGUUAAUCAUCCACCAUUGCUAAUGAGUUCUAGCUGCAAUCGUCUUCUAUUAACAUUAGACCUUUCUGACCUUUUCUUAUCCUUCGUAUCCUCUUUUAGGGAUUCGCAUUUCCUUAUCUCUAAUUAGAAUUGGAAUACAACUCUGUGUUUCCCAAUUUGGCAUAAACUUAUCUGCCUUCUUGUUGAACGAACCCUUUGAGCAUCAAGUACUGACAUGUCAUAAAAGGCUUGUUGGUCGACCAAGGGCAUAAAUGCUAUUUUACUUUGCCAUUUAAUUUUGUAUGUAUAAAUUGUGUGGCUUUGCCCCCAAAUUGAAUUACCACAUACCCCUCCUUUUUUGGCUUUUUUUUUUUUGUGGCUCUAAAAUCUUCUACAGUUUUUUCGUCCAUCGUCUGUGGGUUUGUUAUUUGUCAUUUAAUUUUAAAUUGAUAGUGCUUUAGACAUUUUAUCUAUUCUCUAUUUUGCCUUCUCUUUCUCUAUUCCUAUAUCUGUAUGUUUCUUUCUUGAAUCUCAAAUUCUAGCUUCUUCCUAUGGCGUUCAUCUUCCAAAGUAUUGAAUUUCCCCCCUUUUGAGCAAUACUCACAAACGCUAUAUUACGAGGAUGUAACAUUGCCUCACGGUCAAUUUAGCGACUGGUUAAUCUAUUUUUCUGCAUAAACAAUGCAUAUAAGGUAGACUCUAGAAAAAGCUUGUUGGAUUUUUUGAAGAAGUUGGGGACCUUCCAUUCUAUGCGAUGCAGAGGUUUGUCACUGUAGUUUUUUGCAUUAGGGACACAAUAAUGAUGUUGAGAUUGUAUGGUCUCGUGGAUGAAGUAUUCAUAUUUUAGAUGAGAAAGUAUCACCGACUAUAUUAUUAUUUCUGUUGGAAGUUCAAUUUGUGGAACAAAAUAUUUAUAGGUGAAUUGUGUUAGAUGCAGAUAAUUUGCAUGAAGAGAUUGUAACAUAGAGCAUGCUUGCCAAUUAUAGUUUUAACAUAAAAUUUCUUCAGGUGCCAAUAGUUUUAUUGUAGACUACAAAAAAAAAAAUUACAGUACAGGAACACAUCUUAUCUUGUUAUUGUGUAGAUUGUAUAUAUGUAAAAAGAUUACUCUAUGUCAUUUUACGAGCACACAACACCCAUUGAAUCGAUGUUUUGUUAAAUUUUUUACAA
Nicotiana attenuata is the source of this 1250-nucleotide long non-coding RNA. RefSeq lists it as uncharacterized. The record is from RefSeq and is a predicted model, not a curated record. The transcript is spliced from 4 exons. Lineage: Eukaryota; Viridiplantae; Streptophyta; Magnoliopsida; Solanales; Solanaceae.